GCUUGGUUGGUAAAGCACAAAGCUCUUAACCUUGUGGACGUGGGUUCAAGCCCUAC
Triticum urartu is the source of this 56-nucleotide non-coding RNA. NCBI's taxonomy places the organism in Eukaryota, Viridiplantae, Streptophyta, Magnoliopsida, Poales, Poaceae. The record is from Rfam.